RNAcentral lists this ribosomal RNA (253 nucleotides) under uncultured bacterium. RNAcentral's name for it is "partial 16S ribosomal RNA". It matches the Rfam family "Bacterial small subunit ribosomal RNA", at positions 524 to 776 of the family's 1533-position model. The record is from RNAcentral.
UACGUAGGGUGCAAGCGUUAAUCGGAAUUACUGGGCGUAAAGCGUGCGCAGGCGGUUUUGUAAGUUUUGUCGUGAAAUCCCCAGGCUCAACUUGGGAACUGCAUCCGAUACUGGUCGGCUUGAAUCCGGGAGAGGGAUGCAGAAUUCCAGGUGUAGCGGUGAAAUGCGUAGAUAUCUGGAGGAAUACCGGUGGCGAAGGCGCAUCCUGGACCGGCAUUGACGCUGAUGAGCGAAAGCCAGGGGAGCAAACGGG